UAACCGCCCUUGCCUGCUGAACCCCGUUAGGCCCGGAAGGGAGCAGCGGUAGGCAGGACGUCGCGCGCUGGCGGUCAACG
RNAcentral lists this signal recognition particle RNA (80 nucleotides) under Hadesarchaea archaeon. RNAcentral describes it as "signal recognition particle sRNA small type". It matches the Rfam family "Bacterial small signal recognition particle RNA". Rfam says of the family: The signal recognition particle (SRP) is a universally conserved ribonucleoprotein involved in the co-translational targeting of proteins to membranes. The record is from RNAcentral. Lineage: Archaea; Methanobacteriati; Hadarchaeota (SeqCode); Hadarchaeia (SeqCode).